This 253-nucleotide ribosomal RNA is filed under the name uncultured bacterium. RNAcentral's name for it is "partial 16S ribosomal RNA". It matches the Rfam family "Bacterial small subunit ribosomal RNA", at positions 524 to 776 of the family's 1533-position model. The record is from RNAcentral.
UACGGGGGGGGCAAGCGUUGUUCGGAAUUACUGGGCGUAAAGGGCGCGUAGGCGGCCUGCUAAGUCGAACGUGAAAUCCCUGGGCUUAACCCAGGAACUGCGUCCGAUACUGGCAGGCUUGAAUCCGGGAGAGGGAUGCGGAAUUCCAGGUGUAGCGGUGAAAUGCGUAGAUAUCUGGAGGAACACCGGUGGCGAAGGCGGCAUCCUGGACCGGCAUUGACGCUGAGGCGCGAAAGCCAGGGGAGCAAACGGG